CGUAUAGCUGUGGAGUACUUGCUGGCGCAGUCUGACAGAGGAGACCUGCUUUCUCCACUGGAGCAUGUUGAAAUCACUCCGCCAGAGACACAGGUUGAAGUUCAGCAGGAUGAGUGUCUGGAUGUUACAAUAUGUGAUGCAGCAGACAUCAAUUUAGAUGCACACACCCGUGGCAGUUCCAGCAGUCAUGAUGAUUCAUUGAUCUCCUCUCUGGAAACCAGUCUUCCAAGUGGUGGCUCUUACAGUCCUGACAUUGAAGACAUUUCCUGCGCUGGGCCCAGCACAUCAGCUCCGGACAGUAGAUGUGAUUCAAGGGGUGUUCCUGGAUGGGAGGCAGUGGAUAACCUGGCAGGGUACCUCGUCAGCCUCAACCGCACUAUCACUGCUUU
Sinocyclocheilus rhinocerous is the source of this 389-nucleotide long non-coding RNA. RefSeq lists it as uncharacterized. The transcript has 3 exons. Lineage: Eukaryota; Metazoa; Chordata; Actinopteri; Cypriniformes; Cyprinidae. The record is from RefSeq and is a predicted model, not a curated record.